GAUGAAGAACGUAGCGAAAUGCGAUAAGUAGUGUGAAUUACAGAAUUCAGUGAAUCAUCGAAUCUUUGAACGCACAUUGCGCCCCUUGGUAUUCCAUGGGGCAUGCCUGUUCGAGCGUCAUUUGUACCUUCAAGCUCUGCUUGGUGUUGGGUGUUUGUCUCGCCUCUGCGUGUAGACUCGCCUCAAAAUAAUUGGCAGCCGGCGUAUUGAUUUCGGAGCGCAGUACAUCUCGCGCUUUGCACUCAUAACGACGACGUCCAAAAGUACAUUUUUACACUCUUGACCUCGGAUCAGGUAGGGAUACCCGCUGAACUUAAGCAUAUCAAUAAGCGGAGGA
Molecule: unclassified non-coding RNA, 337 nt
Filed under: soil metagenome
Description: partial contains 5.8S ribosomal RNA, internal transcribed spacer 2, and large subunit ribosomal RNA
Rfam family: 5.8S ribosomal RNA (bases 1-120)
Source: RNAcentral